GGAGCUCGAGCGGGCCGAUCGCCUUGACCUUCCUGGACGCGACGUAGCCUGCGUCCAGGAAGGCCAAGUCUAAGCUGUUGCAACAGCUUUGUAAGACCUCCUCGCUCGCGUCGGAGCUCAGCUCCCAGAAAAUCACGUAGUGGCCCGGGUCCGACGAGCGGUCCACCAGGCUCGUGAAGUCCACAACCUCAACCUUCUCUGCGGCCAAGUGCUUCAAAGCGGCCUCCACUGCCAGCUGGAGGUCUUUCUCGGUGUUCUUGUCGAUGUUGAUGGUUAGCAGGAGGCUUCUCCGGCACAAGAACUGCAGCUCCGGAGUG
RNAcentral lists this long non-coding RNA (317 nucleotides) under Ananas comosus (pineapple). Its description in RNAcentral is "long non-coding RNA (ACOM_LNC018725)". The record is from RNAcentral. Lineage: Eukaryota; Viridiplantae; Streptophyta; Magnoliopsida; Poales; Bromeliaceae.